Long non-coding RNA from Harpia harpyja (harpy eagle), 1561 nucleotides. RefSeq lists it as uncharacterized. The record is from RefSeq and is a predicted model, not a curated record. The transcript has 2 exons. Lineage: Eukaryota; Metazoa; Chordata; Aves; Accipitriformes; Accipitridae.
CAGGCGAAGCCGCCGGCGGCAUCGCGGCACCCGGCGGCCUGGGCGCACCGCCCGCUGCCGGGGCUGCGGUAGCUGCAGGGGCAGAGGGGCUCCUCUGCCCCCUUCCAGGCGAAGCCGGCCCGCUCGGGCUUGCAGUGCGUCAGGACAGCGGCACCGAACCACAUGCCUGUGCGGGUGAGCACAGGGAGAUCCUCGCUCUCUGCCUAUGACCCAAGCUGGAAAGAUGCGACUCUGUUUGCAUUAGGAAGCUUUAUCAUCUAGCAUUUAUAUCUCUAGUUCGUCACUGGAUCUAACCUUAAAUGUACCUAAACUAAAUGAACCAUUCCUUUAGCCCUUUGAUAUUUCUUGGUGAUGUACAAAAGCUACACUUCUACAAAUACCUGUCAGCUUACUAUCUUGAGACAUUUUCCCGAAAUGUGGUUGGUGGGUUUGGGAGAGACGAGAGGUUGCUACAGCUUUACUACUGUGGUCUUGCUGGGGAGUGCUGACAAGACUUUGCCUAAUCUGCCCCUGCAAUCCUAGAGCUUCAGUUUGUUUUCUCUUUCAAAAUUGAGUUCAUUUAUUACAGCUGAAUAGAAACUAACCAUUAUAAAUAGAAGGAAUAAUAUAGAAGCCCCCAAAUUUCCAUUUUAUGCUUCAAACCUAAGGCUCUGUCCCUGGAGAGGAGAACGCAGCUCAGGUCAUGAGAACAUUUGCUCCUUUGCUUCUCUUCUCGGCUGUCAGCAAGGGCAUGAUUUGAGCCAUCUGGGAUGGCCUCUCUGCCAGGUAAUUGACGGGUAGUACUGGCUCAUUUCACACAGGCCAUGACUUUAAUUUCGUAGGCUAUAUUUGAACCAGCAAUUUAGAAAAAACAGGUUAGCCACCAGUGCCCCAGGCAGCCCAGUCUCAUCGUCAGAGCUCGUACCGCACGGAAAGAUGAAAACACUGCAUGCCAAAGCUGAAGGCUUUCGCCAGCAGGAAAUAAGAGACAGUAGCUGUAUGUCUGUCUACUUGAUCUGCCUGUAUACCUGCUCUUCUCUCCUACGGCUGCCCCGAGAGUCCUGCAAAAUAUUUAAAAAAUAACAGGUCUACUACAUCUCCAGAAAACAGCUGUUCCUCUGGUUUUGAAUGUUCUUCUAGUUCUUACUUUUAAGUAAAUAAGAAAACACUCUUUAAGUGUCUUCACGGGGCUUUUCCUGAAGAAAUCGUUUCUUGAAAGAGAGGAUUAGCUACUUGCACACAAAUGCUGGUACCAGUCAGUGUGAGAGGCAACUAAACUUCUACAUAUAAAGAAGACUUUAUUACAUGGAUGUGAAUGUUAUAUGGCUGAUUGAUGUGUAAGUCCUAAUGCAGCUGUUUUGCUCAGCAGUAAAAUCUUGUUUAGCUGUGGUUGUUCCUUAGUCUUCUGCCUGUAAGAUAUGAGCCUUUGAAAUACAGUGGCUUGCUUUAAUUGUAAUUUUACUGAGAGCCAUUAGGUUUUUUGUUUCAUUAUGUAACUGUAUCUGUCUUAAAAUAAUAUGUACAUUUUGACUAAGGAGUAAUGAGAGAAGGGCUGAAUUAAUAAGACUACUUUUCUCUUUUA